RNAcentral lists this unclassified non-coding RNA (431 nucleotides) under Zea mays. RNAcentral's name for it is "misc RNA Zm00001eb296780". The record is from RNAcentral. Lineage: Eukaryota; Viridiplantae; Streptophyta; Magnoliopsida; Poales; Poaceae.
CGACGUCCCACGGCAUGGUUCCGCAAGACGACGCCGGCAACGGGCGCUGCUUGGGCGCGGCGAGGCGCGACGAGGGCGUGCCGAGCGAGAGCGUGCAGUCGACGGAGCCCGUGGAGGAGGAGGACGGGGAUGGAGGGGUGGCGAUGACGGCGCUGUUGCUGUCGUCGUCGUCGAACCAGUCCGCCGGCGCGUAUUGAUGAGCCUUGGUGCUGCAGGGCAGCGGGGAGAAGAGCGAGAAGGUGGUGGACGGCAUGGUGGCGGGGGCGAGGGCAGUGGCCGGGAUGCUCUGGCGAUGGCGAUGGCGCUGGUGCUGCUGCUGGGUGGUGGUGUUGCAGUGGCGGAGCAUGGUCCGCAGUGCUGGGUUUUAAAGCGAGGCGGCGGCGCCGAGGAGGAGAGAAGAUCCGGAACUGAACUUCGGUGCGAGGAUGUGG